AUUAGCCUGCUGUGUGCGUCACAUCGAAUAUGUUUUGAGCCAACACUAUUACAUUGGGAACCCGGAGUUUACCCGCGGAGCACAUGCCAUUUAUGGACUUGCAAAGCGGGUAGCAGGGUACCCACCUGCGAGCGCAGGUUUCAAAACACUCGAUUAAGACGGCACGGCGGGUUUUUA
This 177-nucleotide non-coding RNA is filed under the name Isachenkonia alkalipeptolytica. RNAcentral's name for it is "6S / SsrS RNA". It matches the Rfam family "6S / SsrS RNA". From Rfam's summary of the family: E. coli 6S RNA was the first non coding RNA to be sequenced, but its function was unknown until recently. It consists of 184 nucleotides that fold into an extended hairpin structure with a large single-stranded internal bulge. Lineage: Bacteria; Bacillati; Bacillota; Clostridia; Eubacteriales; Clostridiaceae. The record is from Rfam by way of RNAcentral.